GAUGAACGCUGGCGGCGUGCUUAACACAUGCAAGUCGAACGGAAAGGCUCCUGCUUGCCGGGGUACUCGAGUGGCGAACGGGUGAGUAACACGUGGGUGAUCUGCCCUGCACUUCGGGAUAAGCCUGGGAAACUGGGUCUAAUACCGGAUAGGACCACAUUUUGGAUGGUGUGGUGGAAAGUUUUUCGGUGUGGGAUGAGCUCGCGGCCUAUCAGCUUGUUGGUGGGGUAAUGGCCUACCAAGGCGUCGACGGGUAGCCGGCCUGAGAGGGUGUACGGCCACAUUGCGACUGAGAUACGGCCCAGACUCCUACGGGAGGCAGCAGUGGGGAAUAUUGCACAAUGGGCGCAAGCCUGAUGCAGCGACGCCGCGUGGGGGAUGACGGCCUUCGGGUUGUAAACUCCUUUCGCUAGGGACGAAGCGCAAGUGACGGUACCUGGAGAAGAAGCACCGGCUAACUACGUG
This 465-nucleotide ribosomal RNA is filed under the name uncultured bacterium. RNAcentral's name for it is "partial 16S ribosomal RNA". It matches the Rfam family "Bacterial small subunit ribosomal RNA", at positions 28 to 507 of the family's 1533-position model. The record is from RNAcentral.